CUACGGGAGGCAGCAGUGAGGAAUAUUGCACAAUGGGGGGAACCCUGAUGCAGCAACGCCGCGUGGAGGAUGACGCAUUUCGGUGUGUAAACUCCUUUUAUAUGUCAAGAAAAUGACGGUAGCAUAUGAAUAAGCACCGGCUAACUCCGUGCCAGCAGCCGCGGUAAUA
RNAcentral lists this ribosomal RNA (169 nucleotides) under uncultured bacterium. Its description in RNAcentral is "partial 16S ribosomal RNA". It matches the Rfam family "Bacterial small subunit ribosomal RNA", at positions 339 to 525 of the family's 1533-position model. The record is from RNAcentral.